AAAAACUCAAUUCCUGGGUUUCCGUGUCUAACGUUUGACCGUUUGUCUUAUUUAAAAAAUUAUGAAAAAAUUUAAAAAGAUAAGUCAUGCAUAAAGUAUUAUUCGUGUUUUAUCAUCUAAUAAUAAUAAAAAUAUUAAUCAUAAAAUAAUUUUAUAUAAGAUGGACGGUCAAACGUUGGAUAUGGAAACC
This 190-nucleotide microRNA precursor is filed under the name Oryza glumipatula. RNAcentral's name for it is "MIR812 microRNA precursor family". It matches the Rfam family "MIR812 microRNA precursor family". Lineage: Eukaryota; Viridiplantae; Streptophyta; Magnoliopsida; Poales; Poaceae. The record is from Rfam by way of RNAcentral.